ACCCUCCAAAUUCUUUACCUGUCCUACUGAAAUACUGGCCUGAGUGGCUACAGAAGGAGAAAAAAUGAAAUUCAAAUGGGCUUAAGUUCUUUUGUAAAGCAUAGGCUAGUUUCAAACAAAC
This 121-nucleotide small nucleolar RNA is filed under the name Echinops telfairi (small Madagascar hedgehog). RNAcentral's name for it is "Small nucleolar RNA SNORA61 (ENSETEG00000025846.1)". The record is from RNAcentral. Lineage: Eukaryota; Metazoa; Chordata; Mammalia; Afrosoricida; Tenrecidae.